RNAcentral lists this ribosomal RNA (301 nucleotides) under uncultured bacterium. RNAcentral's name for it is "partial 16S ribosomal RNA". It matches the Rfam family "Bacterial small subunit ribosomal RNA", at positions 509 to 807 of the family's 1533-position model. The record is from RNAcentral.
CAGCCGCCGCGGGAAUACGUAGGUCCCGAGCGUUGUCCGGAUUUAUCGGGCGUAAAGCGUGCGCAGGCGGUUCGUUAAGACAGAUGUGAAAUACCCGGGCUUAACCUGGGAACUGCAUUUGUGACUGGCGGGCUAGAGUAUGGCAGAGGGGGGUAGAAAUCCACGUGUAGCAGUGAAAUGCGUAGAGAUGUGGAGGAAUACCGAUGGCGAAGACAGCCCCCUGGGCCAAUACUGACGCUCAUGCACGAAAGCGUGGGGAGCAAACAGGAUUAGAUACCCCUGUAGUCCCUGUCUCUUAUAC